RNAcentral lists this ribosomal RNA (253 nucleotides) under uncultured bacterium. Its description in RNAcentral is "partial 16S ribosomal RNA". It matches the Rfam family "Bacterial small subunit ribosomal RNA", at positions 524 to 776 of the family's 1533-position model. The record is from RNAcentral.
UACGGGGGGAGCAAGCGUUGUUCGGAAUUACUGGGCGUAAAGCGUGCGCAGGCGGUUUCUUAAGUCAGAUGUGAAAGCCCCGGGCUUAACCUGGGAACUGCGUUUGAAACUGGGAGACUUGAGUGUGGCAGAGGGGGGUGGAAUUCCACGUGUAGCAGUGAAAUGCGUAGAUAUGUGGAGGAACACCAAUGGCGAAGGCAGCCCCCUGGGUCAACACUGACGCUCAUGCACGAAAGCGUGGGGAGCAAACAGG